RNAcentral lists this long non-coding RNA (209 nucleotides) under Cavia porcellus (domestic guinea pig). RNAcentral describes it as "lncRNA (ENSCPOG00000039898.1)". The record is from RNAcentral. Lineage: Eukaryota; Metazoa; Chordata; Mammalia; Rodentia; Caviidae.
GGAAAGUUCACCCAGAAGCAGUCUGGGCUCUCUCUCAAGGGGAAUAGGAAUGCAGGUCAUCGCAAGCCUGUUGAUCGCAUGGAUGCAGUUGUCACAAAUGAAUGGAAAACAGAGAUGCUUCAUGGAAUUUCAAUUACCUCAGGAAAAAAUCAGUGGAUUCUGACAAAGAUACAAAUUCUCAAAGGAUCUGAAUGUAUCCUUCAUUGGCG